AGGUCAAGCUACAAAGGGCGCAUGGUGAAUGCCUUGGCAUCAGGAGCCGAUGAAGGACGUGAUAAGCUGCGAUAAGCUUCGGGUAGGCGCACAUAGCCAGAGAUCCGGAGAUUUCCGAAUGGGGAAACCCGCAUGAGAAACCUCAUGCAUCGUAAAGUGAAUACAUAGCUUUAUGAAGGAACACCUAGGGAACUGAAACAUCUAAGUACCUAGAGGAAGAGAAAGAAAAAUCGAUUUUCUUAGUAGCGGCGAGCGAAAAGGAAAGAGCCCAAACCAGAGAUUUAUCUCUGGGGUUGCGGACAGAACAUAACGUGAAAUUAUGAUUAACCGAACACAACUGGAAAGUUGGACCGUAGGAGGUAAUAGUCCUGUAAGUAAAAGUCAUAAUGAUCAGUUCUGCACCAGAGUACCACGAGACACGUGAAACCUUGUGGGAAGCAGGGAGGACCACCUCCCAAGGCUAAAUACUACCUGAUGACCGAUAGUGAAGCAGUACCGUGAGGGAAAGGUGAAAAGAACCCCGGGAGGGGAGUGAAAUAGAACCUGAAACCAUGUGCCUACAACCGAUCAAAGCACCUUAUGUGUGUGAUGAUGUGCUUUUUGUAGAACGAGCCAACGAGUUACGGUAUGUAGCGAGGUUAAGUACUUAAGGUACGGAGCCGAAGGGAAACCGAGUCUUAAUAGGGCGACUAGUUGCAUGCUGUAGACCCGAAACCGGGUGACCUAUCCAUGGCCAGGUUGAAGCGAGGGUAAAACCUCGUGGAGGACCGAACCACGUUGCUGUUGAAAAAGCAUGGGAUGAGCUGUGGAUAGCGGAGAAAUUCCAAUCGAACUCGGAUAUAGCUGGUUCUCCUCGAAAUAGCUUUAGGGCUAGCGUCGUGAAAUGUGAGUACUGGAGGUAGAGCACUGAAUAGGCUAGGGGCAUAGCGCUUACCGAACCUUAUCAAACUCCGAAUGCCAGAUACUAUCAGCA
RNAcentral lists this ribosomal RNA (973 nucleotides) under Clostridium butyricum. RNAcentral's name for it is "bacterial LSU rRNA". It matches the Rfam family "Bacterial large subunit ribosomal RNA", at positions 1 to 977 of the family's 2925-position model. The record is from RNAcentral. Lineage: Bacteria; Bacillati; Bacillota; Clostridia; Eubacteriales; Clostridiaceae.